This 493-nucleotide ribosomal RNA is filed under the name uncultured bacterium. RNAcentral describes it as "bacterial SSU rRNA". It matches the Rfam family "Bacterial small subunit ribosomal RNA", at positions 38 to 507 of the family's 1533-position model. The record is from RNAcentral.
GGCGGCGUGCCUAACACAUGCAAGUCGUACGAGAAAGCCGGCUUCGGCUGGUGAGUAAAGUGGCGCACGGGUGAGUAACGCGUGGAUAAUCUGCCCUUAAGUGUGGAAUAACGUACCGAAAGGUGCGCUAAUACCGCAUAAUGCCUGGCAACACAAGUUGUCCGGCCAAAGAAGGCCUCUGUUUACAAGCUUUCGCUUCAGGAUGAGUCCGCGUACCAUUAGCUUGUUGGUGGGGUAAUGGCCUACCAAGGCUGCGAUGGUUAGCUGGUCUGAGAGGAUGAUCAGCCACACUGGAACUGAGACACGGUCCAGACUCCUACGGGAGGCGGCAGUGAGGAAUAUUGCGCAAUGGGGGCAACCCUGACGCAGCAACGCCGCGUGAGUGAGGAAGGUUUUCGGACUGUAAAGCUCUGUCGAGCGGGAAGAAGUGUACCAUGGCUAAUAUCCAUGAUAUUUGACGGUACCGCUAGAGGAAGCACCGGCUAACUCCGUG